RNAcentral lists this ribosomal RNA (207 nucleotides) under uncultured bacterium. RNAcentral's name for it is "partial 16S ribosomal RNA". It matches the Rfam family "Bacterial small subunit ribosomal RNA", at positions 568 to 774 of the family's 1533-position model. The record is from RNAcentral.
CAUGCAGGCGGCUCAUUACGCAUGGCGUGAAAGCCCCCGGCUCAACCGGGGAGGGUCGUCGUGAACGGGUGAGCUUGAGGGUAUCAGGGGCUGGUGGAAUUCCCGGUGUAGUGGUGAAAUGCGUAGAUAUCGGGAGGAACACCUGUGGCGAAGGCGGCCAGCUGGGAUACACCUGACGCUGAGAUGCGAAGGCGUGGGGAGCGAACG